Pogoniulus pusillus (Red-fronted tinkerbird) is the source of this 590-nucleotide long non-coding RNA. RefSeq lists it as uncharacterized. The transcript has 2 exons. The record is from RefSeq and is a predicted model, not a curated record. Lineage: Eukaryota; Metazoa; Chordata; Aves; Piciformes; Lybiidae.
CCGGCCCAGCCGCGAUGCAGCGGGGCAGGAGCGGCUCCGGUCUCCGGUGCUGCGGGAGGUUUGUGAGGUUGCCUGUCGGCGUGGGGCCGCAGCGCACGGCCCGCAGAGGCGCGGCCUCGAGGCUGCCGGUAGGAGGUGGCUCUGGCCUGGCCGUGCGCCUGCGUCUCGGAGCUAUCUCAGGCCGGUGGGACACCAGCAGCAGCUGGCAGGGCUGACAGCUUCCAGCAGCAUUACAUGGCCAUGAAUCAGAGUCCGACCUGGAACAUGCCUGGAAGGAAUCAGCGUGUCAGAUCUGGUGUGCAGCUCCCACAGGCCAGAGCUGUUGCCUUCAGUACCUGGGAAGUGCAGACAUUUGUUGCCUAACAAGCUUUAACAACAUGACUGUGCUUGACUGUCAUGAUCCUGGUGGAAGUCCUCCCACAGAAGUGGUGGCUGCAACCUUCCCAUUUCAUCUGGAUUUUAAUUGCCUCCUGCAGAUCCACCCUAAAUGCCAAGGAGAGGUUGUGCCAGUGCUUUGCCCCCCACUUUGCCAAAUGCAAAGCUGUAAUUCAAUUCUAACUCACAAAUAAACUACUCAUAUUUUUCCACGA